This 429-nucleotide ribosomal RNA is filed under the name Bacteroidota bacterium. Its description in RNAcentral is "Bacteroidetes bacterium partial 16S ribosomal RNA". It matches the Rfam family "Bacterial small subunit ribosomal RNA", at positions 355 to 776 of the family's 1533-position model. Lineage: Bacteria; Pseudomonadati; Bacteroidota. The record is from RNAcentral.
UAGGGAAUCUUCCGCAAUGGACGCAAGUCCGACGGAGCAACGCCGCGUGAGUGAAGAAGGAUUUCGGUUCGUAAAACUCUGUUGUUAGAGAAGAACAGCGCAUAGAGUAACUGUUAUGCGUGUGACGGUAUCUAACCAGAAAGCCACGGCUAACUACGUGCCAGCAGCCGCGGUAAUACGUAGGUGGCAAGCGUUGUCCGGAUUUAUUGGGCGUAAAGCGAGCGCAGGCGGUCAAUUAAGUCUGAUGUGAAAGCCCCCGGCUCAACCGGGGAGGGUCAUUGGAAACUGGUUGACUUGAGUGCAGAAGAGGAGAGUGGAAUUCCAUGUGUAGCGGUGAAAUGCGUAGAUAUAUGGAGGAACACCAGUGGCGAAGGCGACUCUCUGGUCUGUAACUGACGCGGAGGCUCGAAAGCGUGGGUAGCAAACAGG